Non-coding RNA from Pogona vitticeps (central bearded dragon), 2813 nucleotides. The record is from RefSeq and is a predicted model, not a curated record. NCBI's taxonomy places the organism in Eukaryota, Metazoa, Chordata, Lepidosauria, Squamata, Agamidae.
CAGCUGAAAGUCUGUCAAUUUUGACAAUAAACCUGAUUUGCAAGGGGCGGGGGGGGGAGGUUGAAUAAUUUUGCUUACAACUAUAGAAAGUGGGCAGCAGUAGCCAAGGGCUUCUUUCAAGAGGAGGUGCAGGCCUGACCUCAAGCAGCAGUUACCUGCUUAUGGGCCAAGGGUGUUAAAUGUAGGGAAUGGAGCCUCCUCUCAGAGAUGAGUUUUUAAGCUAAAACGCCCCAAAUCUUGACUUCUUGAAGGAGGGGGAGAAAAAAAAAAGCACUGGAUAACUGUAAGCAUUUGCUGUUUGGUCAUCUAUUACUGUUUUGUAUUGUAUUGUUUAAAAACAUCAGGUACUUUCCUUCUUGUUCUUCUUACCCGAAAGUAAUAUCCGCCCUGACCUUGUGUGACCUUUUGUGUAUAGGAUGUCCCUUUCCUGAUCAGUGCAGGCGAAGAGGCGGCUGCUUUGGAAGCCGGGAUCGAAGGCAGUCCAGCCAGCAUUUUGGCUGAACCAUCGGCGUGGACAAGUUUCGUGGGUCUAGGAAUCCAUUUCCUACCUCCCAGCCUUCUCUGUGGGUGGCAUCGACCUCCCCACCCCACCCCCAAGAUGCAACUGUGGAUUGUGGCCUAUUUAAAAGACUGCCCCUCAACGCUUCUAGGACAAGCAUUUCAUCUUUCCCCACCUGUGGGAAAAUGUGUUUCGGGGUGUGGGGGGGAGAAGAUGGGAGCCUGAUAAGAGCUGGGAUGCCCGAGAACCUUUCUUUUCCCACGCCUGCUCUAGAUCACAGCCCUCACCUCUGUGUCUUUUCUCAGGUUAGUUUCUCAUUCCUCCCCAUCCCUGCACCAAGAUUUGUGGAAAGCGCGUGCGUAGACUAGAAAGGUUGAAAACUGCAUGUUCUUUUUGUCUAGUUCCUCUCUGGCCCCUUCCUCCUGUAGCGCUCCUGACAAUUGAGCCUGUGUCCACUGUUUCUCCUGGCAGCUCUCCCGCCUCUCUCUCGAGGUGAGACUUCCAAACCCACUUCGGAAGCCACUUUUUCUCACCUUCCAGUUUCACUGGCCUCUCACCGUCUCACUUCCUUGGUCCCUGGCCCUUCCUCCCCUUCUGUAGUGUCGACCAUAAGCGUUCAGGGUUGUCUACUCCACGUUGGCGUGUGGUGUGCUUCGAGUCCCGUCCGGCACUCGAGAAGGAGAUGGGAUAUGGCAGAGUUCAGGGAGGCCUCCACGGAGUCGGAGAAGCUUACCGUGCCCUCUGGCGGGUUGGCAUCGUUUUAAAAAGCACAGGAUGUCCGGAGCACUUAGCAGGUCGUGGCCAUGGCUCCUCGGAAAACCAGUCUCUCAGAUGGCCUCUGUAACUCAUUUUGAAGGGGAGCGAUGCUGGGGCAGGCAACGAAUGAUUAAACAUGAAUUGUGAAAUGAGAAGAGAUCCUCUGCGCGUUGUUGUUCUACCACCAGCCCCAUUUUUCUAGCCGAUGUGCUCGAGGCAGACUCUCUGCGGACCUCCUGCCUCUGCUUCCCACUCCAUACAGCCAAUGUGCUUUUACAGCUUUGCCCUGGACUCAGGGAAGAGAAAUAGAAGCAUGUUACUUUUUUAGGGGGGGGGUGUCUCCUCAUUCAAGGGCAAGGUAUACCUCUUUCUGCCCAGGAGCUGUGCUGUAGUGGUGAAUUGGAACCGAAGGCAAAUAGGGGCAGGGUUGUAGGUCAGGUCUACGAGCUUAUUUUAACUUGAAAUGAAAGGCUGCGAGAAGCUGAGCCUUCAAAGAGGCAUUUCUACAUUUUCGGAGGGGAGAUUGCAAGGGGGAAAAAAACCCUGGAAUACGGCCACAGGAGGGUGCCGUGGGGAGGGAGUUAAAAUUUAGACACACACAUCCUAGAGGCCUGGAUUUUAUCCUAGAACUUUCUAUCCCUGUUUUACAGCUUGCCAGUAAAAUCUCUCUAGUUACAGACCCAAACACACGCAGGUUGUUUUCCCGUGAUCAGGACUAUGUUACUACCUGUGACGUUCCUCUUUCCAGAAAAAAAUGGCAGUUCCUCCCUUAAAAUGUUCCUACUGUUUUGAACUGCGACCGGAAACCUGCCUUCUUGCAAACGGACCCCUUCCACUUGGGGCAAGCCUCCAAGCGGAAGCCCCGGGAACAUAGGGGAAAAUUUAAAUGACAUAAAGGAGGUUGUUUGCUCCCCCACACACUUCAGGGGAGGUCAAAGCCAGUUGUGCAUCCAUUGCUAAAAAGGCAUGCUACAAAAUAAGAGAGGGAUAGAUGGGCAUGAACCGGUUCACCCCUGUUCAUAAAGGUGGCAGCAUAGGUGCUGCUGCUCCCCUCCCUCACCACCUCUGGCUCAGUAAGCCACUCACCAGGUCCAGCGUGCCAGCUUCCAACAUUUCCUCAACUGAUCUUCCAGUCCUGACAGUAGCCCAGGCUUGGCUGAUCUCCCACUCAGGCGAAAGGGCAGGGCAGAGAAGCCUGGGCUCUUGCCCCUGACUGGGAGAUUAGCCCCGGAGAUGGGAAAAGGCCAUCAAGCUGCGCCUGGUGAGGGGCUCUUUGCGCCAGUGGAGGCAGGGGAAGGGAAUAUCAGCCCCUGUGCUGCCGCCUUCACGAACUGAGACGAACUGGUUCUUGCCCAUCUCUAGACAGGGGGCAUGUGCUGACAGGUGAGAACAGACAAAAGAAAUCGGAAAAAAUACUUUAGCUCAUGGGACGAAGACUGGGCUGGGAUGAGCUGUGUUUUUAUUAAAACUAGUGCAGGCCCUGCUGGAGAAAUCUCCCUUCUGUGUUUCUCUUGAGUCACCACAGUGACCUCAGAAUAAAAGCAUUCAUAUGACUUUC